GUCGGGAAUAUUGCACAAUGGAGGAAACUCUGAUGCAGUGACGCCGCGUGCAGGAAGAAGGUUUUAGGAUUGUAAACUGCUUUAGACAGGGAAGAAAAAAGACAGUACCUGUAGAAUAAGCUCCGGCUAACUACGUGCCAGCAGCCGCGGUAAUACGUAGGGAGCGAGCGUUAUCCGGAAUUAUUGGGUGUAAAGGGUGCGUAGACGGGUAAAUAAGUUAGUUGUGAAAUCCCUCGGCUCAACUGAGGAACUGCAACUAAAACUGUAUAUCUUGAGUGCGGGAGAGGAAAGUGGAAUUCCUAGUGUAGCGGUGAAAUGCGUAGAUAUUAGGAGGAACACCAGUGGCGAAGGCGACUUUCUGGACCGUAACUGACGUUGAGGCACGAAAGUGUGGGGAGCAAACAGGA
Molecule: ribosomal RNA, 407 nt
Filed under: uncultured bacterium
Lineage: Bacteria
Description: bacterial SSU rRNA
Rfam family: Bacterial small subunit ribosomal RNA
Source: RNAcentral